Molecule: ribosomal RNA, 293 nt
Filed under: uncultured bacterium
Lineage: Bacteria
Description: partial 16S ribosomal RNA
Rfam family: Bacterial small subunit ribosomal RNA
Source: RNAcentral
GUUCCUACGGGAGGCAGCAGUGAGGAAUAUUGGUCAAUGGGAGAGAUCCUGAACCAGCCAAGCCGCGUGAGGGAAGACGGCCCUAUGGGUUGUAAACCUCUUUUGUCGGAGAACAAAACCCGGGACGUGUCCCGGACUGCGUGUAUCCGAAGAAAAAGCAUCGGCUAACUCCGUGCCAGCAGCCGCGGUAAUACGGAGGAUGCGAGCGUUAUCCGGAUUUAUUGGGCGUAAAGCGAGCGCAGGCGGUUGCUUAGGUCUGAUGUGAAAGCCUUCGGCUUAACCGAAGAAGUGCA